This 412-nucleotide ribosomal RNA is filed under the name uncultured Glaciimonas sp. RNAcentral describes it as "bacterial SSU rRNA". It matches the Rfam family "Bacterial small subunit ribosomal RNA", at positions 658 to 1064 of the family's 1533-position model. The record is from RNAcentral. Lineage: Bacteria; Pseudomonadati; Pseudomonadota; Betaproteobacteria; Burkholderiales; Oxalobacteraceae.
GGCGUAGAAUUCCACGUGUAGCCAGUGAAAUGCGUAGAGAUGUGGAGGAAUACCGAAUGGCGAAAGGCAGCCCCCUGGGAUAACACUGACGCUCAUGCACGAAAAGCGUGGGGAGCAAACAGGAUUAGAUACCCUGGUAGUCCACGCCCUAAACGAUGUCUACUAGUUGUCGGGUCUUAAUUGACUUGGUAACGCAGCUAACGCGUGAAGUAGACCGCCUGGGGAGUACGGUCGCAAGAUUAAAACUCAAAGGAAUUGACGGGGACCCGCACAAGCGGUGGAUGAUGUGGAUUAAUUCGAUGCAACGCGAAAAACCUUACCUACCCUUGACAUGGCUGGAAUCCUUCAGAGAUGAGGGAGUGCUCGAAAGAGAACCAGUACACAGGUGCUGCAUGGCUGUCGUCAGCUCGUG